GACAGAGGGUGCAAACGUUGCUCGGAAUCACUGGGCGUAAAGGGCGUGUAGGCGGGACGGUAAGUCGGGGCGUGAAAUCCCACGGCUCAACCGUGGAAGUGCACUCGAAACUGGAUGGCUAGAGUCCUGGAGAGGAAGGUGGAAUGCUUGGUGUAGAGGUGAAAUUCGUAGAUAUCAAGCGGAACACCGGUGGCGAAGGCGGCCUUCUGGACAGUGACUGACGCUGAGACGCGAAAGCGUGGGGAGCAACAGG
RNAcentral lists this ribosomal RNA (253 nucleotides) under uncultured bacterium. Its description in RNAcentral is "partial 16S ribosomal RNA". It matches the Rfam family "Bacterial small subunit ribosomal RNA", at positions 524 to 775 of the family's 1533-position model. The record is from RNAcentral.